ACAAACUUAUCAUCUGAUAAAUACUACUUAAGAUCAGGGGUUUUUGAAAGAAACAAAUAUGGAGUUCAUUAGUUGUUCAAUAAGAAAAAGAAGAGAGAAGAGGAGGAUGACAUUCUACAUAAAUCAAAGCCUAUGGAGUAGAACAAAUCAAAGCUUGUCAACCAUGUCAUCCUACAUAAACAAUCUGCAAGGUAAAUUGUCCACGGUGCAACCCGCACAUAACAGGCCAUCAACCAAGAAUUCCGCGUUUCUUUUACGCCUUGCCCUUCCCUUUGAUCGUCAAUGGCAAGAGGAACCACAUUAAUGUAGGGGAAUGCCACCGCCCGAAUAUUCGACCUCCUGAGCAGGAGGCAAAGAUGAGACCCAGUCAGAUGCAUGAGUUGGAAGAAGCCCCAAUGUGUUAAGCUUCCAAACACCCAGCGCCAAACCCCCCAAAUUAAGAGCAAUAAACAGCAACUUAGGCCCAAGAAG
Molecule: unclassified non-coding RNA, 471 nt
Filed under: Hevea brasiliensis (rubber tree)
Lineage: Eukaryota; Viridiplantae; Streptophyta; Magnoliopsida; Malpighiales; Euphorbiaceae
Source: RNAcentral